Molecule: non-coding RNA, 328 nt
Organism: Nipponia nippon (crested ibis)
Lineage: Eukaryota; Metazoa; Chordata; Aves; Pelecaniformes; Threskiornithidae
Source: RefSeq, a predicted model, not a curated record
CCGACUGAGCGGUGCCUCUCUUUCCCGCAGGUGCAACCAUGGCCAAGUCCAAGAACCACACCACGCACAACCAGUCCCGUAAGUGGCACAGAAAUGGCAUCAAGAAACCCAGAUCCCAUAGAUACGAGUCUCUCAAAGGGGUUGAUCCCAAGUUUCUGAGGAACAUGAGAUUUGCAAAGAAACACAACAAAAAGGGGCUGAAGAAGAUGCAGGCCAACAAUGCCAAGCAGGCUGCUCAGCAGAAAAAGGACUGACGUGGUUUAAGACAGAAGAACCAAUUUUCUUAUUGGCAUGCGUGUUACAGCUUUUUUGUAAAAAUAAAAUUGGA